GCACUGUUGAGGAGUCCCGCGACAGGACGAAAUGGCCGUCCAGUGC
This is a non-coding RNA of Schistosoma curassoni, 46 nucleotides long. The record is from Rfam. NCBI's taxonomy places the organism in Eukaryota, Metazoa, Platyhelminthes, Trematoda, Strigeidida, Schistosomatidae.